UGUGAUAUUAAAUAUAUGUGUGUGUGUGUGUGUGUAUACACAUAUAUGUAUACACACACACACACACACACACACACACACACACACAGA
Molecule: microRNA precursor, 90 nt
Filed under: Tupaia belangeri (northern tree shrew)
Lineage: Eukaryota; Metazoa; Chordata; Mammalia; Scandentia; Tupaiidae
Description: miRNA (ENSTBEG00000019887.1)
Source: RNAcentral